AUGACCAUUCUUCUGAUGAUUGGACAUUCUUAUUGCUCAAUAUCCUUCACCCCGCCUUUUGUGGCGUUUCUCCCAGGCCACCUGCCUCUCAGGAUUUCUAGGACUCCUCUGUCUUUUCCUCUUCUUUCUUCCUUGCUCUUCUACAUCCCCCAGUUCCUGUGGAUUUUUUUGUUUCUUGCUCACAGUAUUCCAGCUGCUUCUCUGUUCCAAGUCUUCACCUUUUACCUCUUUUUUUUAUCUUCUUCAGCCAGAACAACCAGGAAUGGACAUUAUUUGAUUUGGCCAGCACCAGCAAUUUUUUUUUUUUAAACCAUAGCUCUGUUUUAUAUGUCAUUUCAAAGUAUCCAUCAUACUUAGGAGAUGCUGCACACACCUGUCAAUUGAACAGAGAAAAUAUGCUUCUUUCCUAUUUGUCUCUCUUUGCUUCAAGGACCAGGCAACACUAAUCUUCCGCAAUAUUCUUUUCCCAAUAAGAGCUCACAUCCAAUCUGAAUGCUAAAUAAUGUUGUCACGAGGUUGCAUGGGCACUGGUUAAGAUCUAUGCCCAAACUAUAAUGAAUCUCUCUUCUACAUAACUGUGAUUGUGGCCAAAAUUGGUGAGCAACCCAUCCUCAAGGGAGCAGUGGGAGGAGACCAGAAUAUUGUGUUGGAUUCUGUCCUGGACACAUCUUCGGCUAGACUCCUGGAGCAGUUUAAAUCAAGGGCUGGGCUGAGCAGGCCUGAAUGGCUUGCAAAUGACAGAUUUAUGGAGGGAGGCCUAAUUAGAUCACGGUAAUUUGUAGUACGACAGUAUCUUUUGCUCAAGAUCUCAAAGCAAAUGUCUGCCUUGAUAGGUGGGCAAAACAAAGACCCACAAAUGUCAAGGGAAAGUCUCAAUUUCACAAAAUAAAUCCUUGGACAGCCCGGGAUAAGAGUCACACCUCGCAUUUGGAAAACAUUUUACAGUUUUGCUCUGCAUUCACAUAAUUUUGCCUCCUUUGAGUGGCCCAAGUUCCUGCUGUGAAAGUUAGAGUGGUGGUCAGUGUUUCUCUCAUUUCAGAAAAGAGGAAGAUGGAGACACUGACUGGCUGAGUGACCUGCCCAAGAUCAGCGCCAGUAGUAGGGCUGAUUUUUGGAUACCCUGUGUGGAGAAAUGAAGUGAAGUGACUUUUAGCAGGAAAAGAAGAAGAAGGUCUUGAGAUAAUGAGCUUCUGUUUCUAACGACUUGGCAGAAAGGAGCAUGGCUGAGGAAUACAAGUCCCAGUGAAGAUUCAUCUAGGUCAAAGGCUUAGAAUGGAUUGCAAACCUGUUUGGGGAGUAGUUGUCCCCUGGUAUCCUUGAAAGAUUAGUUCCAGGAUCCCUGAGGAUACCAAAUCUGUGGAUGCUCAAAGUCUCUUAUGUCAAAUGGUGUAGGGCUAGCCCACAGUCUAUGCACAUGCUUUAAAUCAUAUUUCAGUUCAGUUCAGUUCAGUCGCUCAGUCGUGUCUGACUCUUUGC
Molecule: long non-coding RNA, 1476 nt
Filed under: Capra hircus (goat)
Lineage: Eukaryota; Metazoa; Chordata; Mammalia; Artiodactyla; Bovidae
Description: lncRNA (ENSCHIG00010016989.1)
Source: RNAcentral